Molecule: ribosomal RNA, 207 nt
Filed under: uncultured delta proteobacterium
Lineage: Bacteria; Deltaproteobacteria
Description: partial 16S ribosomal RNA
Rfam family: Bacterial small subunit ribosomal RNA
Source: RNAcentral
CGUGUAGGCGGUUUAUUAAGUCUGAUGUGAAAGCCCCGGGCUCAACCUGGGAAGUGCAUUGGAUACUGGUAGACUUGAGUACGGGAGAGGGUAGUGGAAUUCCUAGUGUAGGAGUGAAAUCCGUAGAUAUUAGGAGGAACACCGGUGGCGAAGGCGGCUGCCUGGACCGAUACUGACGCUGAGACGCGAAAGCGUGGGGAGCAAACA